GCUCUAGCAAAAUCGCAAACAAAAAAGAGAUGCAUUUCAUUUUCAUUCUCACCACACCUGCAACAUGAUUUAGAAAUGUGAAUUGAAAAGCGGCCCGCUCGCAAACCUGUAGGAAGAGCUUUUCGAAGAAGUCUCCAUGCGAAAGUUUGAACACGGGGUGCAAUCAACUUUUGCUUCCAAACCUGAGUGAGAAGAUUUUUAACCUGCAAAGAUAGUUGAGAGGGAGUAUUCCUGGUAAUGCUUUGAAUAUCCUGCAAGCACAAUUUAUAAGUGGAUUUAGAAGUGCAUUUGCCACUCGGAGUGAGGUCCCAACAGAGAAUAUCUGGGCAGUCAUCCUGAAUGAUGGAGGUUUGAGUAAUAGAAGUAGCCAUAGGCUCUUGGAAAAGAGAAUGAAUAAGAUUGUUGUUUCAAGUUUUUUGCCCAGGAAUCCAUAGAUCCUUAACCUGAGCAGGAUAA
This 456-nucleotide ribosomal RNA is filed under the name Triticum aestivum (bread wheat). RNAcentral's name for it is "partial small subunit ribosomal RNA". Lineage: Eukaryota; Viridiplantae; Streptophyta; Magnoliopsida; Poales; Poaceae. The record is from RNAcentral.